CAGUCGCCACGGUAAUACGUAGGUGGCAAGCGUUGUCCGGAGUUAUUGGGCGUAAAGGGCUCGCAGGCGGUUUCUUAAGUCUGAUGUGAAAGCCCCCGGCUCAACCGGGGAGGGUCAUUGGAAACUGGGAAACUUGAGUGCAGAAGAGGAGAGUGGAAUUCCACGUGUAGCGGUGAAAUGCGUAGAGAUGUGGGGGAACACCAGUGGCGAAGGCGACUCUCUGGUCUGUAACUGACGCUGAGGAGCGAAAGCGUGGGGAGCGAACAGGAUUAGAUACCCCAGUAGUCCCUGUCUCUUAUAC
This 301-nucleotide ribosomal RNA is filed under the name uncultured bacterium. Its description in RNAcentral is "partial 16S ribosomal RNA". It matches the Rfam family "Bacterial small subunit ribosomal RNA", at positions 509 to 807 of the family's 1533-position model. The record is from RNAcentral.